AACGAACGCUGGCGGCAUGCCUAACACAUGCAAGUCGAACGAGACCUUCGGGUCUAGUGGCGCACGGGUGCGUAACGCGUGGGAACCUGCCCUUAGGUUCGGAAUAACUCCCUGAAAGGGGUGCUAAUACCGGAUAAUGUCUUCGGACCAAAGAUUUAUCGCCUUUGGAUGGGCCCGCGUUGGAUUAGCUAGUUGGUAGGGUAAAAGCCUACCAAGGCGACGAUCCAUAGCUGGUCUGAGAGGAUGAUCAGCCACACUGGGACUGAGACACGGCCCAGACUCCUACGGGAGGCAGCAGUGGGGAAUAUUAGGCAAUGGGCGAAAGCCUGAUCCAGCAAUGCCGCGUGAGUGAUGAAGGCCUUAGGAUUGUAAAGCUCUUUUACCCGGGAUGAUAAUGACAGUACCGGGAGAAUAAGCUCCGGCUAACUCCGUG
Molecule: ribosomal RNA, 433 nt
Filed under: uncultured bacterium
Lineage: Bacteria
Description: partial 16S ribosomal RNA
Rfam family: Bacterial small subunit ribosomal RNA
Source: RNAcentral